Molecule: ribosomal RNA, 787 nt
Filed under: Pseudomonas sp. Ant-6a
Lineage: Bacteria; Pseudomonadati; Pseudomonadota; Gammaproteobacteria; Pseudomonadales; Pseudomonadaceae
Description: bacterial SSU rRNA
Rfam family: Bacterial small subunit ribosomal RNA
Source: RNAcentral
AGUCGAGCGGUAGAGAGAAGCUUGCUUCUCUUGAGAGCGGCGGACGGGUGAGUAAUGCCUAGGAAUCUGCCUGGUAGUGGGGGAUAACGUUCGGAAACGGACGCUAAUACCGCAUACGUCCUACGGGAGAAAGCAGGGGACCUUCGGGCCUUGCGCUAUCAGAUGAGCCUAGGUCGGAUUAGCUAGUUGGUGGGGUAAUGGCUCACCAAGGCGACGAUCCGUAACUGGUCUGAGAGGAUGAUCAGUCACACUGGAACUGAGACACGGUCCAGACUCCUACGGGAGGCAGCAGUGGGGAAUAUUGGACAAUGGGCGAAAGCCUGAUCCAGCCAUGCCGCGUGUGUGAAGAAGGUCUUCGGAUUGUAAAGCACUUUAAGUUGGGAGGAAGGGUUGUAGAUUAAUACUCUGCAAUUUUGACGUUACCGACAGAAUAAGCACCGGCUAACUCUGUGCCAGCAGCCGCGGUAAUACAGAGGGUGCAAGCGUUAAUCGGAAUUACUGGGCGUAAAGCGCGCGUAGGUGGUUAGUUAAGUUGGAUGUGAAAUCCCCGGGCUCAACCUGGGAACUGCAUUCAAAACUGACUGACUAGAGUAUGGUAGAGGGUGGUGGAAUUUCCUGUGUAGCGGUGAAAUGCGUAGAUAUAGGAAGGAACACCAGUGGCGAAGGCGACCACCUGGACUGAUACUGACACUGAGGUGCGAAAGCGUGGGGAGCAAACAGGAUUAGAUACCCUGGUAGUCCACGCCGUAAACGAUGUCAACUAGCCGUUGGGAGCCUUGAGCUCUUA